This 130-nucleotide ribosomal RNA is filed under the name uncultured bacterium. RNAcentral's name for it is "partial 16S ribosomal RNA". The record is from RNAcentral.
CUGCAGGUACCGUCAUCAGUAUAUCAUUUCCUAUAUACCUUAUUCUUCCCUGCCGAAAGAGCUUUACAACCAAGGCCUUCAUCACUCACGCGGGAUUGCUCCGUCAGACUUUCGUCCAUUGCGGAAUAUU